AACGAACGCUGGCGGCAUGCCUAACACAUGCAAGUCGAACGCGUGGAGCGAUCCACGGGUGGCGCACGGGUGAGUAACGCGUGGGAACCUGCCCUGGAGUGGGGGAUAACCCGGCGAAAGCCGGGCUAAUACCGCAUACGACCUAAGGGUGAAAGAUUUAUCGCUCUAGGAGGGGCCCGCGUCGGAUUAGCUAGUUGGUGAGGUAAUGGCUCACCAAGGCGAUGAUCCGUAGCUGGUCUGAGAGGAUGAUCAGCCACACUGGGACUGAGACACGGCCCAGACUCCUACGGGAGGCAGCAGUGGGGAAUAUUGGACAAUGGGGGCAACCCUGAUCCAGCAAUGCCGCGUGGGCGAUGAAGGCCUUCGGGUUGUAAAGCCCUUUUGCACGCGACGAUGAUGACGGUAGCGUGAGAAGAAGCCCCGGCUAACUUCGUGCCAGCCGCCGCCGUAA
Molecule: ribosomal RNA, 451 nt
Filed under: uncultured bacterium
Lineage: Bacteria
Description: partial 16S ribosomal RNA
Rfam family: Bacterial small subunit ribosomal RNA
Source: RNAcentral